GAACAGCGGCAACUCCGGCGUCCGCGGUGGCGCGGAGAGCGUGGUGGCUUGGGGGGCAACAAGCUGGGAAUUUGAUUUCUUGGAACGAGGAGGCGGCGGGUUCUUGGCGACGAAGUCCUUGAGACCGACCUCGCCGCCGGGGAAGCCGCCUGUGAGGCCCAUCAUCUCCUUGUCGAACGCGUCCAGAUCAACCGCGGGCGGAGGAGACUCCGUCGAAGGAGAAGGAGACGGCGCGGGCGAGGAGGUGGUGGUGGAGGCGGAGGAGCCGGAGGUGAGUUCUUUGCGGACGCCGACCUCGCCGUUGCAGAGGCCCCGACCGCCAAGUAUCUCGGAGACGCGGAAGGAGGCGGAGGGUGGGCGGAAAUGGAGGCGAGGGUGCGGGUGGUGUGGCAGCGGCGGCGGGCGGAGGAAUGAGGAGCUGGUGGGCGGCGGCGCCAUCGGAGGAGUGGAGAGGAGCGCGCCCGCGAGCGAAGCAGAAC
Molecule: long non-coding RNA, 479 nt
Filed under: Sorghum bicolor (sorghum)
Lineage: Eukaryota; Viridiplantae; Streptophyta; Magnoliopsida; Poales; Poaceae
Description: long non-coding RNA (SBIC_LNC013419)
Source: RNAcentral